AUACGUAGGGUGCAAGCGUUAAUCGGAAUUACUGGGCGUAAAGCGUGCGCAGGCGGUUUUGUAAGACAGAGGGGAAAACCCCGGGAUCAACCUGGGAACUGCCUUUGUGACUGGAAGGGUAGAGUACGGCAGAGGGGGAUGGAAUUACGCGUGUAGCAGUGAAAUGCGUAGAUAUGCGGGGGAACACCGAUGGCGAAGGCAAUCCCCGGGGCCUGUACUGACGCUCAUGCACGAAAGCGUGGGGAGCAAACAGGAUUAGAUACCCGGGUAGUCCACGCCCUAAACGAUGUCAACUGGUUGUUGGGUCUUCAUUGACUCAGUAACGAAGCUAACGCGUGAUGUUGACCGCCUGGGGAGUACGGCCGCAAGGUUGAAACUCAAAGGAAUUGACGGGG
This 395-nucleotide ribosomal RNA is filed under the name uncultured bacterium. RNAcentral describes it as "partial 16S ribosomal RNA". It matches the Rfam family "Bacterial small subunit ribosomal RNA", at positions 523 to 918 of the family's 1533-position model. The record is from RNAcentral.